AUUGAACGCUGGCGGCAGGCCUAACACAUGCAAGUCGAACGAGUGGCGGACGGGUGAGUAAUGUCUGGGAAACUGCCCGAUGGAGGGGGAUAACUACUGGAAACGGUAGCUAAUACCGCAUACCCUCGGAUGUGCCCAGAUGGGAUGAGCUAGUAGGUGGGGUAACGGCUCACCUAGGCGACGAUACCUAGCUGGUCGGAGAGGAGGACCGGCCACAGUGGAACGGAACAACGGUCCGGACGCCUACGGGAGGAAGAGGUGGGGAAUAUUGCACAAUGGGCGCAAGCCGGAUGCAGCAAUGCCGCGUGUAUGAAGAAGGCCUGCGGGUUGUAAAGUACUUGCAGCGAGGAGGCGUUACUCGCAGAAGAAGCACCGGCUAACUCCGUGCCAGCCGCCGCGGUAAUAC
Molecule: ribosomal RNA, 406 nt
Filed under: uncultured bacterium
Lineage: Bacteria
Description: partial 16S ribosomal RNA
Rfam family: Bacterial small subunit ribosomal RNA
Source: RNAcentral